GCUACUCACAGUGAGGUUAUUGUAGUUUGACUGCACAUAUACAUGGUCUCUAGACAUAUGGGUCCAUGCAGUGUAGAUUGGCUGCAGUAGGUUCACUGUAGGAGUAGGGUAUGCACCUAUAUAGAAUCUAUCGAUCUUGAUAGAUAAGGAGAGAUCCUAUGUGAUUUAUAAGACAGAGUUCAUAAGACCUCGGCCGGGGCAGUAUGCAUAGUGGA
This 215-nucleotide long non-coding RNA is filed under the name Phoenix dactylifera (date palm). RNAcentral describes it as "long non-coding RNA (PDAC_LNC011489)". Lineage: Eukaryota; Viridiplantae; Streptophyta; Magnoliopsida; Arecales; Arecaceae. The record is from RNAcentral.